This 253-nucleotide ribosomal RNA is filed under the name uncultured bacterium. RNAcentral's name for it is "partial 16S ribosomal RNA". It matches the Rfam family "Bacterial small subunit ribosomal RNA", at positions 524 to 776 of the family's 1533-position model. The record is from RNAcentral.
UACGUAGGGUGCUAGCGUUGUUCGGAAUCAUUGGGCGUAAAGCGCGUGUAGGUGGUUAACUAAGUCGGGUGUGAAAUCCCUGGGCUCAACCGAGGAAGUGCAUCCGAAACUAGUUAACUAGAAGAUGGUAGAGGAAGGUGGAAUUCCAGGUGUAGAGGUGAAAUUCGUAGAUAUCUGGAGGAAUACCGGUGGCGAAGGCGGCCUUCUGGACCAUCCUUGACACUAAGACGCGAAAGCGUGGGUAGCAAACAGG